CCUACGGGGGGCAGCAGUGAGGAAUAUUGGUCAAUGGCCGGAAGGCUGAACCAGCCAUGCCGCGUGAAGGUCAGUGCCCUAUGGGCGUUAAACUUCUUUUGUGCGGGAGCAAUAAUGGUCACGUGUGGCCCUACCAUAUUACCGUUCCAAUUAGCAUCGGUUCACUCCGUUCCAGUAGCCGCGGUAAUACGGGGGAUGCAAGCGUUAUCCGGAUUUGUUGGGUUUAAAGGGUGCGUAGGCUGUGAGGUAAGUCAGCGGUGAAAUGCCCCCGGUCAACGGGGUGAAGUGCCAUUGAUACUUCCGGGCUGGAAUGCGGAUGCGGUGGGAGGAAUGUGUGGUGUAGCGGUGAAAUGCAUAGAUAUCACACAGAACACCGAUUGCGAAGGCAUCUCACGAAUCCGCGAUUGACGCUGAUGCACGAAAGCGUGGGUAUCAAACAGGAUUAGAUACCCGAGUAGUC
This 460-nucleotide ribosomal RNA is filed under the name uncultured bacterium. RNAcentral describes it as "partial 16S ribosomal RNA". It matches the Rfam family "Bacterial small subunit ribosomal RNA", at positions 338 to 795 of the family's 1533-position model. The record is from RNAcentral.